GAUGAACGCCGGCUGUGUGCCUAAUACAUGCAUGUCGAGCGAAGCACUUUUGUGCUUAGCGGCGAAUGGGUGAGUAACACGUACUUAACCUACCCUCAAGAUUGGGACAACACUUGGAAACGAGUGCUAAUACCAAAUACGUAUUUUUAUCGCAUGAUAGAUAUAUAAAAGGAGCUUCGGCUUCACUAGAGGAUGGGAGUGCGCUACAUUAGUUAGUUGGUAGGGUAAUGGCCUACCAAGACUAUGAUGUAUAGCGGGGCCGAGAGGCUGAUCCGCCACACUGGGACUGAGAUACGGCCCAGACUCCUACGGGAGGCAGCAGUAGGGAAUUUUCCACAAUGAACGAAAGUUUGAUGGAGCGACACAGCGUGCAGGAUGAAGGUCUUCGGAUUGUAAACUGCUGUUAUAAGAGAAGAAAAACCCUGGUAGGUAAUGACCAGGACUUGACGGUACCUUAUCAGAAAGCGACGGCUAACUAUGUGCCAGCAGCCGCGGUAAUACAUAGGUCGCAAGCGUUAUCCGGAAUUAUUGGGCGUAAAGAGUUCGUAGGUGGUUUUGUAAGUCUGAAGUUAAAUACCGGGGCUCAACCCCGGCCCGCUUUGGAUACUGCAAAACUAGAGUAAUAGAGAGGUUAGUGGAACUCCAAGUGAAGCGGUGGAAUGCGUAGAUAUUUGGAAGAACACCAAUGGCGAAGGCAACUAACUGGAUAUUAACUGACACUGAGGAACGAAAGCGUGGGUAGCAAACAGG
This 750-nucleotide ribosomal RNA is filed under the name uncultured bacterium. RNAcentral's name for it is "bacterial SSU rRNA". It matches the Rfam family "Bacterial small subunit ribosomal RNA", at positions 28 to 776 of the family's 1533-position model. The record is from RNAcentral.